Molecule: non-coding RNA, 151 nt
Organism: Pan troglodytes (chimpanzee)
Lineage: Eukaryota; Metazoa; Chordata; Mammalia; Primates; Hominidae
Rfam family: Metazoan signal recognition particle RNA
About the family: The signal recognition particle (SRP) is a universally conserved ribonucleoprotein. It is involved in the co-translational targeting of proteins to membranes.
Source: Rfam
GCCAGGCAUGGUGGUGCAUGCCUGUAGUCCCAGCUACUCGGGAGGCUGAGACAGGAGGAUCCCUUGAGCCCAGGAGUCCAAGACUGCUAUAGUUAACGAUGAUCACAUCACUGUACUCUAGCCUGGGUGACAAAGUGAGAUUCUGUCUCAA